GUGGGGAAUAUUGGACAAUGGGCGCGAGCCUGAUCCAGCCAUGCCGCGUGAGUGAUGAAGGCCUUAGGGUUGUAAAGCUCUUUCAGUGGGGACGAUAAUGACGGUACCCACAGAAGAAGCCCCGGCUAACUUCGUGCCAGCAGCCGCGGUAAUACGAAGGGGGCUAGCGUUGUUCGGAAUUACUGGGCGUAAAGCGCACGUAGGCGGGUAUUUAAGUCAGGGGUGAAAUCCCGGAGCUCAACUCCGGAACUGCCUUUGAUACUGGGUACCUAGAGUAUGGAAGAGGUAAGUGGAAUUCCGGGUGUAGAGGUGAAAUUCGUAGAUAUUCGGAGGAACACCAGUGGCGAAGGCGGCUUACUGGUCCAUUACUGACGCUGAGGUGCGAAAGCGUGGGGAGCAAACAGGAUUAGAUACCCUUGUAGUCC
Molecule: ribosomal RNA, 425 nt
Filed under: uncultured bacterium
Lineage: Bacteria
Description: partial 16S ribosomal RNA
Rfam family: Bacterial small subunit ribosomal RNA
Source: RNAcentral